Long non-coding RNA from Dryobates pubescens (Downy woodpecker), 951 nucleotides. RefSeq lists it as uncharacterized. The record is from RefSeq and is a predicted model, not a curated record. The transcript has 4 exons. Lineage: Eukaryota; Metazoa; Chordata; Aves; Piciformes; Picidae.
GUAUGGCCUUGCUGGGGGCUCAGCGCCAAAGCACCGCAGACUCUCACGUUCACUGCUGCUGCUUUGUGCCCGUGGCAGGUUAUGGCUUGCUGCCACGUGCUGCUGGGGGGUCUGAGGAGCCUCUGAAGGGGGGCUGACGACAUGGGAAGGAUUUUUUGAGGCCAUUUCUUCUCCUCCUAGCACUUGCUACUGGGGAAAAGAGACCGGCCCGCACCUGGCUCCAACCGUGUCCUUGUUCUUUUAUGUCUAUUGCCUGAGACUGUGUGAAGGCUUUGGUUGGGGUGGGGCUUAUUUUCUUCAUCGCAGCUGGUGUGGGGCUGUGCUUUGGAUUUGUGCUGGAAAGAAUGUUGAUAAUGCAGGGACAUUUUACUUACUGCUGAGCAGGUUGGCCAGUGGUCUGCUGCUCCAGGACUGGGUUAAUAUCAGUCAGCUGAUGGCUUGUCUUGAUCACAUCUACUGUGGCCUGCUUUAUAUGGCAGCAGGUCAGGAUUGGGAGCCUGGCAAAAUGUGCUGCUCAAGGGAGAGAGGAGAGAUGUGUCAGCCCAGGUGACAGGAUGACCUCACUAAUGAAGAGAUACCUUAUCAGGAGACACAGUUUGACAGGCCUGGAUCUGUGUUGGCCACUAGUGCUGUUCAUCCACAGGAGUCAUCCGCAGGAGUAUUACACCAGAGAGCCUUCUGCUGGGUGUGAGGGGUCAUGUGAAACUGUCUGAUUUUGGGCUAAGCACAGCUGUAAAGGCUCAGAGACCUGAGCUCUACAGGAACCUUGCACACAACCCACCAAGUGAUUUCUGUGAGUACAAGCUGUCCUUGUUCAACACUGAAAUAGUUGAGAGCUGAAGCCAGACCACACCAUAAUUCCCUCAGCUUCCUCUUCUACAGAUUAAACAAUUCCAGUUCCUUCAGCCACUCCUCAUAAGACUUGUUAUCCAGACCCUUCACCAGCUUUGU